GACGAACGCUGGCGGCGUGCUUAACACAUGCAAGUCGAACGGAAAGGCCCUGCUUUUGUGGGGUGCUCGAGUGGCGAACGGGUGAGUAACACGUGAGUAACCUGCCCUUGACUUUGGGAUAACUUCAGGAAACUGGGGCUAAUACCGGAUAGGAGCUCCUGCUGCAUGGUGGGGGUUGGAAAGUUUCGGCGGUUGGGGAUGGACUCGCGGCUUAUCAGCUUGUUGGUGGGGUAGUGGCUUACCAAGGCUUUGACGGGUAGCCGGCCUGAGAGGGUGACCGGCCACAUUGGGACUGAGAUACGGCGCAGACGCCUACUGGGGGCAGCAGGGGGAAAUAUUGCACAAUGGGCGGAAGCCUGAUGCAGCGGCGCCGCGUGCGGGAUGACGGCCUUCGGGUUGUAAACCGCUUUCGCCUGUGACGAAGCGUGAGUGACGGUAAUGGAUAAAGAAGCACCGGCUAACUACGUG
RNAcentral lists this ribosomal RNA (468 nucleotides) under uncultured bacterium. RNAcentral's name for it is "partial 16S ribosomal RNA". It matches the Rfam family "Bacterial small subunit ribosomal RNA", at positions 28 to 507 of the family's 1533-position model. The record is from RNAcentral.